GGCGAUCAGAUACCGCCCUAGUUCUAACCGUAAACGAUGACAACUAGCGAUUAAUCGGCGUUAAUAUAUGACCCGAUUAGCAGCUUCCGGGAAACCAAAGUUUUUCGUUUCCGGGGGAAGUAUGGUUGCAAAGCUGAAACUUAAAGGAAUUGACGGAAGGGCACCACCAGGAGUGGAGCCUGCGGCUUAAUUUGACUCAACACGGGAAAACUCACCCGGCCCGGACACCGUAAGGAUUGACAGACUGAGAGCUCUUUCUUAAUUCGGUGGGUGGUGGUGCAUGGCCGUUCUUAGUUGGUGGAGCGAUUUGUCUGGUUAAUUCCGAUAACGAACGAGACUCUGGCCUAUUAAAUAGACGGUAUAUUUAAAAGUAUAUCGCACUUCUUAGAGGGACAAGCGGCGUCUAGCCGCAUGAAAUAGAGCAAUAACAGGUCUGUGAUGCCCUUAGAUGUCCGGGGCUGCACGCGCGCUACACUGAAAGAAUCAGUGGGCGUGAUACCUAGUUCGGAAGAACUGGGUAACCCAAGUAAAUUCUUUCGUGCUUGGGAUAGGGAAUUGCAAUUAUUUCCCUUAAACGAGGAAUUCCCAGUAAAUGCGGGUCAUAAGCUCGCGUUGAUUACGUCCCUGCCCUUUGUA
Molecule: ribosomal RNA, 636 nt
Filed under: Thornenema cf. laevicapitatum TXB629
Lineage: Eukaryota; Metazoa; Nematoda; Enoplea; Dorylaimida; Dorylaimidae
Description: SSU rRNA
Rfam family: Eukaryotic small subunit ribosomal RNA
Source: RNAcentral